This 477-nucleotide ribosomal RNA is filed under the name uncultured bacterium. RNAcentral's name for it is "partial 16S ribosomal RNA". It matches the Rfam family "Bacterial small subunit ribosomal RNA", at positions 28 to 507 of the family's 1533-position model. The record is from RNAcentral.
GAUGAACGCUGGCGGCGUGCCUAACACAUGCAAGUCGAACGAAGCACCUUACCUGAUUCUUCGGAUGAAAGUUUGGUGACUGAGUGGCGGACGGGUGAGUAGCGCGUGGGUAACCUGCCCUGUACAGGGGGAUAACAGCUGGAAACGGCUGCUAAUACCGCAUAAGCGCACGAGGAGACAUCUCCUUGUGUGAAAAACUCCGGUGGUACAGGAUGGGCCCGCGUCUGAUUAGCUGGUUGGCAGGGUAACGGCCUACCAAGGCAACGAUCAGUAGCCGGUCUGAGAGGAUGAACGGCCACAGUGGAACUGAGACACGGUCCAAACUCCUACGGGAGGCAGCAGUGGGGAAUAUUGCACAAUGGGGGAAACCCUGAUGCAGCAACGCCGCGUGAGUGAAGAAGUAUUUCGGUAUGUAAAGCUCUAUCAGCAGGGAAGAUAAUGACGGUACCUGAAGAAGAAGCUCCGGCUAAAUACGUG